UGGGGAAUCUUGCGCAAUGGGCGAAAGCCUGACGCAGCGACGCCGCGUGGGGGAAGAAGGCUUUCGGGUUGUAAACCCCUUUCAGAAGGGACGAAGCUACUCGGGUUAAUAGCCCAGAGGGUGACGGUACCUUCAGAAGAAGCCCCGGCUAACUACGUGCCAGCAGCCGCGGUAAUACGUAGGGGGCAAGCGUUGUCCGGAUUUAUUGGGCGUAAAGAGCGUGUAGGCGGCUUGGUAGGUCCGUUGUGAAAACUCGAGGCUCAACCUCGAGACGCCGAUGGAAACCACCAAGCUAGAGUCCGGAAGAGGAGAAUGGAAUUCCUGGUGUAGCGGUGAAAUGCGCAGAUAUCAGGAAGAACACCCGUGGCUAAGGCGGUUCUCUAGUACGGUACUGACGCUGAGACGCGAAAGCGUGGGGAGCGAACAGGAUUAGAUACCCCUGUAGUCC
This 448-nucleotide ribosomal RNA is filed under the name uncultured bacterium. RNAcentral's name for it is "bacterial SSU rRNA". It matches the Rfam family "Bacterial small subunit ribosomal RNA", at positions 355 to 796 of the family's 1533-position model. The record is from RNAcentral.